AUUGAACGCUGGCGGCAGGCCUAACACAUGCAAGUCGAGCGGCAGCGGAAAGUAGCUUGCUACUUUGCCGGCGAGCGGCGGACGGGUGAGUAAUGUCUGGGGAUCUGCCUGAUGGAGGGGGAUAACUACUGGAAACGGUAGCUAAUACCGCAUAACGUCGCAAGACCAAAGCGGGGGACCUUCGGGCCUCGCGCCAUCAGAUGAACCCAGAUGGGAUUAGCUAGUAGGUGGGGUAAUGGCUCACCUAGGCGACGAUCCCUAGCUGGUCUGAGAGGAUGACCAGCCACACUGGAACUGAGACACGGUCCAGACUCCUACGGGAGGCAGCAGUGGGGAAUAUUGCACAAUGGGCGCAAGCCUGAUGCAGCCACGCCGCGUGUAUGAAGAAGGCCUUCGGGUUGUAAAGUACUUUCAGCGAGGAGGAAGGCGGUAAGGUUAAUAACCUUACUGAUUGACGUUACUCGCAGAAGAAGCACCGGCUAACUCCGUG
Molecule: ribosomal RNA, 490 nt
Filed under: uncultured bacterium
Lineage: Bacteria
Description: partial 16S ribosomal RNA
Rfam family: Bacterial small subunit ribosomal RNA
Source: RNAcentral